RNAcentral lists this ribosomal RNA (253 nucleotides) under uncultured bacterium. RNAcentral's name for it is "partial 16S ribosomal RNA". It matches the Rfam family "Bacterial small subunit ribosomal RNA", at positions 524 to 776 of the family's 1533-position model. The record is from RNAcentral.
UACGGAGAGUGCAAACGUUGUUCGGAUUCACUGGGCGUAAAGGGCACGUAGGCGGCUCGGCAAAUCGGUCGUGGAAUCUCGACGCUUACCGUCGAAACGGCGGCCGAAAAUACCGGGCUAGAGGGCGUGAGGGGUCACUGGAACUCCUGGUGAAGCGGUGAAAUGCGUAGAUAUCAGGAGGAACGCCGGAGGCGAAAGCGAGUGACUGGCGCGUUCCUGACGCUGAGGUGCGAAAGCUAGGGGAGCAAACAGG